RNAcentral lists this small nucleolar RNA (19 nucleotides) under Arabidopsis thaliana (thale cress). RNAcentral describes it as "snoRNA AT5G04945". Lineage: Eukaryota; Viridiplantae; Streptophyta; Magnoliopsida; Brassicales; Brassicaceae. The record is from RNAcentral.
AUAAAGCAUUUUCGGUGAG